Molecule: ribosomal RNA, 490 nt
Filed under: uncultured bacterium
Lineage: Bacteria
Description: partial 16S ribosomal RNA
Rfam family: Bacterial small subunit ribosomal RNA
Source: RNAcentral
AUUGAACGCUGGCGGCAGGCCUAACACAUGCAAGUCGAACGGUAACAGGAAGCAGCUUGCUGCUUUGCUGACGAGUGGCGGACGGGUGAGUAAUGUCUGGGAAACUGCCCGAUGGAGGGGGAUAACUACUGGAAACGGUAGCUAAUACCGCAUAACGUCGCAAGACCAAAGAGGGGGACCUUAGGGCCUCUUGCCAUCGGAUGUGCCCAGAUGGGAUUAGCUAGUAGGUGGGGUAACGGCUCACCUAGGCGACGAUCCCUAGCUGGUCUGGGAGGAUGACCAGCCACACUGGAACUGAGACACGGUCCAGACUCCUACGGGAGGCAGCAGUGGGGAAUAUUGCACAAUGGGCGCAAGCCUGAUGCAGCCAUGCCGCGUGUAUGAAGAAGGCCUUCGGGUUGUAAAGUACUUUCAGCGGGGAGGAAGGGAGUAAAGUUAAUACCUUUGCUCAUUGACGUUACCCGCAGAAGAAGCACCGGCUAACUCCGUG